Molecule: small nucleolar RNA, 128 nt
Organism: Salarias fasciatus (jewelled blenny)
Lineage: Eukaryota; Metazoa; Chordata; Actinopteri; Blenniiformes; Blenniidae
Source: Ensembl
GCACCACAGUACAACCCUGUCAAUCAUGUGUGUUUGAUGUGGGUCAAGUUGGUGCCAGAGAGAUUCAAUGUAAAUCCAGAUGGACCUCCUCUUCCCAUGGAGCCUGUCUCUACAACUUUGAUACAAAA